Molecule: non-coding RNA, 28 nt
Filed under: Mus musculus (house mouse)
Lineage: Eukaryota; Metazoa; Chordata; Mammalia; Rodentia; Muridae
Source: RNAcentral
UGGACAUGGUACUACCGGAGGAUCCAGC